RNAcentral lists this long non-coding RNA (1342 nucleotides) under Gallus gallus (chicken). Its description in RNAcentral is "lncRNA (ENSGALG00010004913.1)". The record is from RNAcentral. Lineage: Eukaryota; Metazoa; Chordata; Aves; Galliformes; Phasianidae.
GUAGAAGAAUGGUCCCAGCACCUCAUGCAGGGACAGCACUUCUAUGGACACACUUGGUUCAGAGUUUCAUGCAAAAUUUCUUUGAACUAGAUUAGAAUUAGAUAAAUAGUGCUUUCUAUUCCUGAACAGCCAUUGUGCACCAAAUAUUUGUGAAGCAGAUUCAGCAGAAAGCAGUAACAAAGCUGUUGCUUGUGCUGGCAUAGUGAAAACUAUUUACAAUUUGCUUUCUUGCAUCCCAUGAAGCCAAAAUACCCUACAAUGACUCUCUGGUACAAGAUGGACAGACUGUGAUAAUGAACAGCAGAUGAGGAUAUUUGUGGACAAAGUGGAUCAAGAAUCAGUCAUCACGCAGCAAUUGGUUUCACACAUCGUUUCACUUUCAGUGAAUUCUAUUGUGUUCAGGCCAUGUUAGCGACAAAGAAUGUCAGUGCGUCUGAAAGAAAACCAUGCCAAUCCAACUUCAAUCCUGCUCAGCACAGCAAUACGUAUGUUUGAGAGAACCAAUUUUAUUUUAGAUAUGAAGUGUGUUUAUGCAUUAAUAUCAUAUUUUUGUAGUCACAUCUGCAAAAUUUAAAACAAAUUUGAGUGAAACAUCUCAGAAAAUUAAGCAUAUAAACAUCUGCAGGACUAAAAAAUGCUACAAAAACAUGUACUUAAUAUGAACAGGAUGAUUGAUAUGCAAAACAGUUUAAAUGUUAUAAAGUCCAGGUCCAGUUUUCUGGCUUCGUUCAGCUUUGAAAUAAACAAAAAUGUACAGGUGUGCUCUAGCUUUUCUCAGUGACACAGAAACUAGGAAUGGAUUCAGCAUUUAUCACCAUUUAUAGGUCUCCACCCAUAUGCAGUGAAUGGCUCAUACCUUGGGAACUUUGAAUGAUGUAGUUCAGGAUGUGGCUUCUGGAUUGGGAUCCAUUUUUGGCUACUAAUCUUCAUGAAAUAUAUGCAAAAUCCUUAUCAUUUUAAAGCUUGUCUUACCAAGAUUGCUGUGGUAGUGAGUGAGGUUCUCAUUCCAUAUGAACUUAUCCCAAAAAAUGUCAUUGACUGGAUCACAGGUUGGUGCUUAGCAGGAAGAAAGCCAGACUAUUUAAUGUUAAAUUCCUGUAUUGAUCUAAAAAACUUGAUUGUUCAGUUUGUUUCUUUCAACAUGUAAUUUGAUUGUAUAAGAAAGAGGUGCCUUUCGUAGAUAUAUGGGCCACAACAAAAGCACAAGCAGACAAAAAGUGUAUAUCAGAAGUGGAUUUUUUACAAGGAUUUUCAACAAACUGCUGUUUCUGUUUAUCUGAUUCCUAAAAAGUUUUAAAUAAGUUAAAAAUAUAUAUAUAUAUUUCUACUAUGUUGCUCAUGC